Molecule: unclassified non-coding RNA, 473 nt
Filed under: uncultured Entrophospora
Lineage: Eukaryota; Fungi; Glomeromycota; Glomeromycetes; Entrophosporales; Entrophosporaceae
Description: SSU rRNA
Rfam family: Eukaryotic small subunit ribosomal RNA
Source: RNAcentral
AGCAGCCGCGGUAAUUCCAGCUCCAAUAGCGUAUAUUAAAGUUGUUGCAGUUAAAAAGCUCGUAGUUGAAUUUCGGGAUCAAUAUAUCGGUCGUGCCUUGGUACGUACUGGUAUCAUUGGUUUCUCCUUUCUGACGAACCAUGAUGUCAUUAAUUUGGUGUUAUGGGAAGUUAGGACUGUUACUUUGAAAAAAUUAGAGUGUUUAAAGCAGGCUUUGGCUUGAAUACAUUAGCAUGGAAUAAUGAAAUAGGACGUUCGAACCUAUUUUGUUGGUUUCUAGGAUCAACGUAAUGAUUAAUAGGGAUAGUUGGGGGCAUUAGUAUUCAAUUGUCAGAGGUGAAAUUCUUGGAUUUAUUGAAGACUAACUACUGCGAAAGCAAUUUGCCAAGGAUGUUUUCAUUAAUCAAGAACGAAAGUUAGGGGAUCGAAGACGAUCAGAUACCGUCGUAGUCUUAACCAUAAACUAUGCCGAC